GAGCUAGCAUUCGAUUUAUGAUAGAACACGAUGGACCAUCAAAGACGAUAUCAGAAAGGAAUUAAUUCCACAAAAGCUUGUAGAUUAAUGAGUUACAUGUGGAAGAAGUUUAACUGAUGGUUUAUGAAACAGAAAAGAGUUAUCAAUCAGUAAGACAAUGCAUGAGCUUGUGCUUUCCCUCGAUCUGUUUGCUGACCAAUCAUUAUGCAACUAAGAACAAAUUAUGUUAAAGAGUGGAGGAGAAUCAGAAGUGAAAGUUUUGGAACUGAUGGUAAGAAAUAAAACAUGCACAAGUUUGGGUAUUCAUAUAAAAUUUUAGAGGUGACCA
RNAcentral lists this long non-coding RNA (328 nucleotides) under Elaeis guineensis (African oil palm). RNAcentral's name for it is "long non-coding RNA (EGUI_LNC003321)". Lineage: Eukaryota; Viridiplantae; Streptophyta; Magnoliopsida; Arecales; Arecaceae. The record is from RNAcentral.